This 773-nucleotide non-coding RNA is filed under the name Polyura schreiber (blue nawab). Lineage: Eukaryota; Metazoa; Arthropoda; Insecta; Lepidoptera; Nymphalidae. The record is from RNAcentral.
AAAUAAAAAUUUAUGUUUUUUAAAAUUUAUUAUAAAUUUAUUUUACAUAUAAAUUUUAGUAUUAAUUUUUAAUUAUUUAAAUAAUAUUUAAAUUUUAAGGUAGUAAUUAAUUUUAAAAAUUUAAGAAAUUAAGAUUUAGUAAUAUAAAAAUUAAUAACUAAUUUUGUGCCAGCAGUUGCGGUUAUACAAAAAUUAAAUUAAAUUAUUUCAGUAUAUAAAUAAAUAAAUUUUAGUUAAAAUAAAUAUUAAAUUAUUAGGUGAAAUUUUAAUUUAAUUAAAUUUUAUAAAAAUUUUAUGAUUUAAUAAAUUUUAUUAUAAACUAGGAUUAGAUACCCUAUUAUUAAAAAUUUAAGUUAUAAUACUAAAAUAGUAAAUAUAAGAUAUUGAAACUUAAAUAAUAUGGCGGUAUUUUAGUUCAUUUAGAGGAAUCUGUCUAAUAAUUGAUAAUCCACGAAUUAAUUUACUUAAUUUAUUAUUUUAUAUAUCGUUGUUAAAAAAAUAUUUUUUAUUAAAAAUAAUAUUUUAAAAUUAAAAUAAAAAAUUAAUUCAGAUCAAGAUGUAGAGUAUAAUUAAGAAUAUGAUGGAUUACAAUAAAAUUAUUUAAAUGAAUAAUUAUAUGUAAAAUAAAUUUGAAGGUGGAUUUAAAUGUAAUUUUAUUUAGUUUAAUAAGAUGAUUAAAAAUUAAAAUAUGUACAUAUUGCCCGUCACUUUCAUUUAAAAAUUGAAAUAAGUCGUAACAAAGUAGAGGUACUGGAAAGUGUUUCUAGAAUGAA